AGUGAACGCUGGCGGUAGGCCUAACACAUGCAAGUCGAACGGCAGCACAGGAGAGCUUGCUCUCUGGGUGGCGAGUGGCGGACGGGUGAGGAAUACAUCGGAAUCUACCUUUUCGUGGGGGAUAACGUAGGGAAACUUACGCUAAUACCGCAUACGACCUUCGGGUGAAAGCAGGGGACCUUCGGGCCUUGCGCGGAUAGAUGAGCCGACGUCGGAUUAGCUAGUUGGCGGGGUAAAGGCCCACCAAGGCGACGAUCCGUAGCUGGUCUGAGAGCAUGAUCAGCCACACUGGAACUGAGACACGGUCCAGACUCCUACGGGAGGCAGUAGUGGGGAAUAUUGGACAAUGGGCGCAAGCCUGAUCCAGCCAUACCGCGUGGGUGAAGAAGGCCUUCGGGUUGUAAAGCCCUUCUGUUGGGAAAGAAAUCCAGCUGGCUAAUACCCGGUUGGGAUGACGGUACCCAAAGAAUAAGCACCGGCUAACUUCGUGCCAGCCGCCGCCGUAA
RNAcentral lists this ribosomal RNA (506 nucleotides) under uncultured bacterium. RNAcentral's name for it is "partial 16S ribosomal RNA". It matches the Rfam family "Bacterial small subunit ribosomal RNA", at positions 29 to 523 of the family's 1533-position model. The record is from RNAcentral.